AAGCGUGAUGCAGAGCAUACAACAAUCAUGUCGGGGGGCUGCCUCGUGGUGGCUCCCUCUGAAGCGUCGCUGCGCGCGACCACUUGACUGAACUCCUGUUAAGCGUCAUCCGCUGACUU
Molecule: small nucleolar RNA, 119 nt
Filed under: Leishmania panamensis
Lineage: Eukaryota; Euglenozoa; Kinetoplastea; Trypanosomatida; Trypanosomatidae
Description: C/D snoRNA
Source: RNAcentral